UGAGUCCUGGCCUGACCCACUGAUGGAGCACCUGUGGAAAGGACUUGGUCAGCCCUGUGAACACAGGUGAAGGCAUUUCAGCUGUGUGAAUGGAAGGGGUGGAGCUGCAUCUCUCUUAGACCUCAUUAAGGGGCUGACCCCCACUGGGGAAGGAUUUUCAACCAGUGGUGGAGUUUCUUUUGUGAGCCUGGAUCUUCAGAUGUGGAUGUGAUUACUGCUCUAGUGACACUUUCCUAUUCCCAAGGGAAAGCUGAUAGUUUUGGACCAGCAAAUAAUUGUCUUAAUCAUACCCGAAGUCUCCUCUUCAUGUUUCACAAUCGUGUAUCCACAUGCACGGGAUUUAUGUGAAUGCCGAGUCUCCAUAUGGCACAAUCCUGUGAUGUGUUCUGAAAACAUGUCCUGAUCAUCCAGCUAUCUUAGGAGCCUCUCAGUGAAGUUCAUGUUACAUCACAGCAGCACCCAGCACCUGUUGUCACUGAACAGUGUGGAACCUGGCUUUUCGGAUGUGACCUGGAAAAUGAUGCAGGGAUACAGGUGGCUGAGCAGAGGCCCUGGAAACAGCUGUCUCCAUCUUCUCAAUCUGCCGUGCAUAGAGUUGUAUGAGUGUCCCAGAUGAACCGUCCUCUAACAAUGAAAAACCAAAACUACACCACAGAUCCAGAGUUUCUUAGAGGAAUGCAAUCCUGGGGUACAGCAGGAUCACCCUGUUGGAGUACUUGAUGACAACCCCUAAGCUCUGGACCUGAGUGUGACUAACAGGAAAAUCUGUCUGCAGCGCUACAAGGAAUAAUUAAGCUGUAAAUUUCAUCUUUGUUUGCCAGUGUCUGAACUCCAAUAAUUAUACGUCGUAGCAGCUGAUUACCAGUAACUUUAAGGAGAUCUGCCUGCUGUGUUUUGUCUCCAGUUCUCCUUUGUUCUCCAGAUACUUUGAAAUGCAUUUCUGGGACUGGCGGGUAAGAGAGCUAACUUUCAGUAUUAU
Molecule: non-coding RNA, 979 nt
Organism: Coturnix japonica (Japanese quail)
Lineage: Eukaryota; Metazoa; Chordata; Aves; Galliformes; Phasianidae
Source: RefSeq, a predicted model, not a curated record